UUUUUUUUUUUUUUUUUUUUUUUGGCAGGUACUUUCUCACCAUUGCAGAACCAAGCUUAAAUGUUAGCUUUCCAAACAAGUCUUUUCCUGACCAAAGUAAAUCCUUCCCAUUAGGCCCUUUCAUAGCACACAGUAUUGUAGCCUCAGAGACAUUAUCAUAAUUAUAAUUGUGUAUUACGAAUCCAUUAACUCAUUAUCAGUCUCUCCCAUUACAUCCUAGAUUUCUUGGAAGAAGAGAACAGUACAUUUGACUCUGCAUCCACGACACCAAGCUGCCUGCCCCAAGGCAGGUGUUAAUAAAUAUUUCUGAACAAAUGAAAAUAGAUUCAGAUGUGCUGUAAAUAUCACACUGGUUAAGAGACUUAGCUGUGAUGUUUACUGAUAGAGUAGUUUCAACAUCAUUAUCCAACAUCAGUGUCAUAUAGGGUUCUUCUUUAUUUAUACAGCAUCUUAUAUUUUUCAGAACAAGUCUGAAUUUUUUUUUUUUUUUUGUCUUUUUGCCUUUGAGGGCCACACCCGAGGCAUAGACCCCCUAGGUUCCCAGGCUAGGGGGACUAUUCUAAGUGCUAGGGAUAUGCUGUGAACAACGUGGACUAGUAUUUCUGACCUAACAGAAUUUACGUUCUAAAGUAUAAGGCAGAGAAUAAACAAAAUAAAUAAGUUGUGGAUGGGUGGUUAGAUGGAUGGAUAACACAGUAAAAAACAAAAAACCGGAUUUAUCAGUGGGAAAAUAAACUUUCCCAGAAUAUUUUGUAUCCUCUGUUAAAAAUCAGUUUCAGGAGGGAAAAAAGGGGUGGUUCAUCUCAUCCACAAUAAUUUUCAAAAGAGGACAGAGAUUUUGUCAAUUGAUUGCUUUAUUUGACUUUACAUGCUCCUGAACAAGUCAAUUUGGUGACCUUGUAAAAAAUGUUUUAAUGCCCAUGAGUUUACGAAGAAAUUUCUUUGGGUCAGAAAGAACAUGUUCAGUCUGGGGAUGCUCCUACAAAAGGAAUCGUCUUUUCAAAUGAGAAUUAACCACUAAGGAUGGAAACACUAGAAGGCAAAAGUCUGGAAGAAAAAAAAGGAAGAUUUUCACACUGAAAAAUGGAUGUCUGUUUAUGUUAAUUUAAUCAAGUCUAUAAUGAAAACAAACAGUUUACACAAUGUAGUUGGGAUCUACUAUCUUCAGACCCACAGCGGCCAGUUCCUGUGUCACAAGUGAGUUCAUUAAGCUUCUUAUGAUUAAUGUACUAAUUUUUCUUUGCAACAUGGAAUGGUGAGAAUCAUUUUGUGUGUUACCACUCGAGAGAUGACGUGAAUACCUGGUACAAGAGGGUGACCACAUUUCUCAUGCUCGGUCUUUGCUACACUGUUACUGGAGAAAACAGCAAGAGGCAUUACAUUCUCUACAUUAUUUCACAAAUUGAUUUCAAUUUUAGAGAAAACAUCUAUUUGUGGCUAAAACUCUACUUCAGACUUAGUGAAAAACACUUCAUGAAUAAGAACAUCUUUUCAGUGUUCCAAGCUAGCUCUUUGAAAGGAGAAAGGAGCCUCACCAAUUCAAUGGCAUUUUCAUUUCCCACAUGAUUUGCAAGGCUCACAAUGUCCUGAUUUGAAAUUUUCUACCUAUUGCAGAGCUAGCAUUGCCUAAUGUCUAAUGUGGUCUCUGAACAUUUCCACUUUCAUCUCAGCCUCUAGCAUUAACUCUUAUACUCUUACUGGCUUCCUGCUCCUUCUUCAUGCUUAUUUUCUGAGGUUCUAAGAGACAAGCGGAUAGAAGGGAGGCUGCAUAUGCCUUGGGAAGGGGUGGGGUAAAUCAAUGAAAUGAUUGAUGAGUGAAAUGAUUUAAUCAGAAUCUGAUUGUCCAAGUUCAACUCCUAGGGCCACAAUUACUAGCUGUGUGACUUUGGGAAAUGUAACUGAUUUCUCUAUGCUACAGUUUUUUUCUUUGGAAAAAUAUCGAUACUGCAACAGAACUGUCACAGGGGUUAAAUAAGUUAUUAUCUGUAGGUAGUGAAUGCCUGGUGUUAGUAACCUCCAUGUGAGUAUUUGCUAGUUGAUGUUCUUCCUACAAGUGGAAGAGGGAAAAAAAAAAAAAAAAAAAAGAGAUUCUUCUGAGGCCAGGAAACAUCUCAGCCUGCUCUGGCUAGAAUUCAAAGUGAUGUCUGGGCAUGUUGACAAGUUGGGGGGUAGGCUUCUUGAAGUGUGUAUCUAUAAACAAUAGAAGAGAUUCCUGGGAAAGAAUUUUUCCUGAGGGCUGAACUUCAUGAUUUAGACCCAGUAACAAAGGUUUUGGUCUUGGUGAAGGAAAGAAUUAUUUUGAUUAUAUCUGAUCUGACCCCAGGCUAGUCUCAUAAGUCAAAUAGACAUAUUUGGUUCUAGGGAGAUAAUGAGCUAUAUAAAAAAGGGAAGAGACAUUUUACUAAAAUCCUAUAAAAUACUGGAGCAUGGCCCUGAGACCCCCUUCUAAAGAGUGUAAGACACUCUUGGGGAAAAAGAGGUGUUAUUCUCCACUUCAGCAGAGCAGCAGUAAAGGGGAGGGGGAAACAGGGUACAAAUCUUUUAGUGGCCACAGACCAAAUGACACUUAGCUAAAGAAGGGUGAAAACUAUUGAUUUCCACAGCCUCUGAAUGCCAUUGGAACCAAGAUCUAGUUAAACUGUUGCUUUCUUACAAUAUGGAGAUUAAAAAAUGUGACAUGGCUCAUAAACUAUUAAGCCAUCAAGAAAUUUCACCUGCUAGAUGUACAAUUCUAACACAGUCCCGAAAGGAAUAAAUACUGUCAUUCAUUAUGCACUAAAUAAAUACUUAUUAAGCCCCUCCUAUGUCCCAGGCACUGCAUGUUAAGUGCUAGGGAUACAAGGGGACAUAAGAUGACAACUUUCUACCCUCAUAGAGCUGUCGGUCUGGAGUGGAGACAAGUCCCCAGACCUCUGGACAUCAGUCAAUGCCUGGAGGGGAAGGCACACAGUGCUGGGAAGCACAUGAGCACAACCUGCCUGGGGCACCCACCAGUGAAGGCUUCGUCUUUGAAGGAAUGAUUUCUAUACUGAGGAGUUGAAGAAUAACUACAAUUGAGGUGGGCAGACAGAGCGAGAAGGAGCAUUCCAACCCAUGGCAAUAGGACGGACGAGGGUCCAGAUGCUAUGCCACAUAGAACUCUUGUAAGCAGAGGCCAGCAAACUGUGGCUACAGGCCAUGGCCUGUUUUUGCAAAUCAAGUUUUAUUGGAACAUUCACUUGCAUAAGGUAUAUAGCUGGUUUCAUGCUAGAAAUGGCAGAGUUGAGUAGUUGUGACAGAGACUGUAUGGUCUGCAAAGACUAAAAUGUUUACUGUUUGGACCUUUACAGAAAAAAAAUGAUGCUAGAGCAUAACAGGGCAAGUGGCAGAGUGGUGAGCACUCUCCCAGGGAAUUGCCUUCAGCAUUUUUCUGGUGUUGGAUUGGACAGCAGUAUAAAGCAAAAUAGAAUGAGCUGACAAGUACGCUUUUCUGUGCAGGUCACAAGUCAAGGCAAUAGCCCCUGUAGCACUAAGAAAGGAAGAGGUGCUUGUGUGUUAUGUUUUUACAUUUGUGCUUCAUCAAGACUUUCCAUAGCACAUAUUUUUAUCCAAGUUACUGGAAGGCACCAACUCUUUACAUGCUGCUGAGACCAAAAACUGUCUCUAGAUUAUUGCCUCAAAUUUCCAGAAACAUGCAGAAUAAACACACUAUCUGACAAGCUACAUGACAAGCCCUCUUAAGAUGAAAUGCUGAAGGCAGGUGGCACACCCAGUGUGGCCACGUUGUCAGUUCUUGAUUGAAAUCACAGUUGAUAUUCUACUGGUUCAGACAGCUAUCAAUAAUAUAUGAGCAGAAAACCUUUACUUUGGGGUUUUAGAAUGACAACAAAAGUUUCACUGAACUUUUGCCCCAUUCAAAAUUUAAUACAUGCUUCUGCCUCAAACCUUCUCCCUUACACUCUUAAAAGUCCUACCACCCUUUGUUCUUAGUUACAUUUAUUUCUGUUGUCUAUAAGAAUUCAGAUAAAUAUCCCACUUCCUGUUCCCAUAGAACACUGUGCUUAGAAACAACAGCAUUCUCUCCUGUCAUGUACCCAAUUCCUGCAACAUCCUUGAGGGCAAAGCUAUAGCCUUCUCACCGUUGUAGGUCCAUGCCUGAAACAUUCGUUGGUCCUCAAUAUAUAUUUACAUACUGUACGCAUGAAAAGGGGAGACCAAUGAUGAUUGGAAUAAUUCUAUGGAAUGAAAUUUUUAUAUAUAGUUCCCUCUUUAGUUAACAAGCAUAAUUACAUGAAUAAUGAGCCAUAUGGUUCUGAUACCAACCACUUUUCCUUCACACCAAGGAAUUAGCCAGGUGUUGCUCAGAGAAUAUUCUCUUUUCUGGUGUAGAUUAUACCUUGUUCUGCUUUACUUUGUCUAGAUUUUGCAAUCACACUGAUUCUCUGCCUCAGAGUCCUACACAGCCGUUUUCAAACACUGCUCCACUAGAAUGGCCACGUCUUUAUGUCAAAAUGUUUAAUAUUUACUAUAAAGACUUCUCAAUCUCUCUCAUAUCAUAAAGAUUUAAUUAACCGUAUUUCUAUGGAGACUUGUUUAUUCCAGCCAGCAAAAUGUUAGCUUCCACACCUUAUACUGAAAAAUGAUAGGUACUCUUUAUCCACCAUAGUUUUCUGUUUUCAGCACUUGUAUUUUCUGCCAUGCCAGGGAGGUGAGAGGCAAUUUUUACACAGAAGAAAAAGUGAUUUCUUAAUUUAUUUCAAGUUGAGACAUCAGUGGCACCUUGAUACUUGCUGGGUGAUAACUUUCUGUUUAAUCGUUUUAUAUCCACAAUCACAUAGAAGAAAUCAAACCAAGUAGAGAAGGACCUAGAACUUCUCAAUGAAGUAAGAUGUUCAAAACGGAGAAAGAUCGUGGUAUAAGGUAGUUGUUUUGCAACCCAUGUCCUUAUAUUUAUUCUUAUUCUUAUCACAUACUUCUUUUGUUAAGUACAUAAUCCAUGGGGUAGGGGGAGGAAAUACCUCACAGUUGAUGUUUCAACAAACUCAAAAUCAACUAGAAUUAAUUGUGUAUUUUCUUUGUACUUAAGAUCUACUUUCAGUGGAGUUCCCGUCGUGGCGCAGUGGUUAACUAAUCCGACUAGGAACCAUG
This 5127-nucleotide long non-coding RNA is filed under the name Sus scrofa (pig). RNAcentral describes it as "lncRNA (ENSSSCG00060070768.1)". The record is from RNAcentral. Lineage: Eukaryota; Metazoa; Chordata; Mammalia; Artiodactyla; Suidae.